RNAcentral lists this long non-coding RNA (1092 nucleotides) under Anolis carolinensis (green anole). RNAcentral describes it as "lncRNA (ENSACAG00000041639.1)". The record is from RNAcentral. Lineage: Eukaryota; Metazoa; Chordata; Lepidosauria; Squamata; Anolidae.
AUGACGUGGAUUGAUUACAAAAAGGCCUUUGACUCACUCCCACACAGCUGGAUCAUCAAGUGCCUGGAUGCCAUUGGGAUUUGUAAAAACGUUGGCACCUUCAUUGAAAACAUGAUGGAGCACUGGAAAACUGAACUGUUUGUUGGAAAUGAAAGCUAUGGACUUGUCAACAUCAGAAGAGGAAUUUUCCAGGGAGAUUCAUUGUCCCCUCUGCUUUUCAUUAUUGCCAUGAUCCCUCUGUCAACAAUCUUACAAAAAACAAAUCUCGGCUAUCAAACAUCUAAGAAAUCUCACAAAAUUUCGCAUCUGAUAUACAUGGAUGACCUGAAGCUGUAUGGGAAAACAGAAACUGAAAUCCAGUCUCUGACCAACACUGUCCGAAUUUUUAGCACUGAUAUCAGAAUGGAGUUUGGUUUGGACAAAUGUUUGACAGUGACAUUGAAGAAAGGAAAAAUCAUUGAAAGUGAGGGCAUAAAUAUGCCUAAUGGCCAAACAAUAAAGUGUCACCAGCCAAAGGCCUAUAAAUAUCUGGGCAUACUACAGCUGGACAACAUCAAGCAUGAACGUGUAAAAACUGUGGUCAGCAAAGAAUACACACAAAGGGUCAGAAAAAUUCUCAAAAGCAAGUUCAAUGGAGGCAACACCAUCAAGGCCAUAAAUACCUGGGCCAUACUUGUCAUAAGAUAUACUGCUGGCAUUAUAAAUUGGACACAGGUGGAACUGGACAAUUUGGACAGAAAAACAAGAAAACUCAUGACCAUUCAUCAUUCACUGCACCCUCGCAGUGAUGUUGACCGGUUAUAUCUGCUUAGAAGAUCAGGGGGCAGAGGAUUCUUACAAGUAAAACAAGCAGUCAAAGAAGAAGAACAUGCCCUGGCAGAAUAUGUAAAGCAAAGUGAAGAACCUGCUUUGACGUCAAAAAUCAGAAACUCCUCAAAUCACAGCAGACAAAAAACCAGUACAAGAAAACCGCACUACAAACUAGAGCUGACAGCUGGCAUAACAAAACAUUGCAUGGAAAGUUCCUUGACAAAAUUGAAGGAAAAGCUUAUAAGGAGAAGACCUGGCUCUGGCUCACAAAUGGGACCCUGA